GAAUAUUGGUCAAUGGAGGCAACUCUGAACCAGCUAUGCCGCGUGCAGGAUGACGGUCCUAUGGAUUGUAAACUGCUUUUGUACAGGCAGAAAUAGAGCUACGUGUAGCUUAUUGACGUAACUGUCAGAAUAAGGAUCGGCUAACUACGUGCCAGCAGCCGCGGUACUACGGAGGAACCAAGCAUUAUCCGGAAUAAUUGGGUUUAAAGGGUCCGUAGGCGGCCUUAUAAGUCAGCGGUGAAAGUUUUUGGCUUAACCAAAAAAUUGCCGUUGAUACUGUAGGGCUUGAAUUUUUGUGAAGUAACUAGAAUAUGUAGUGUAGCGGUGAAAUGCUUAGGUAUUACAUGGAAUACCAAUUGCGAAGGCAGGUUACUAACAAACAAUUGACGCUGAUGGACGAAAGCGUGGGUAGCGAACA
RNAcentral lists this ribosomal RNA (418 nucleotides) under uncultured bacterium. Its description in RNAcentral is "partial 16S ribosomal RNA". It matches the Rfam family "Bacterial small subunit ribosomal RNA", at positions 359 to 774 of the family's 1533-position model. The record is from RNAcentral.